UACAGAGACUGCAAGCGUUAUUCGGAUUCACUGGGCGUAAAGGGUGCGCAGGCGGCCGUGUGUGUGAGGCGUGAAAGCCCGGAGCUCAACUCCGGAAUUGCACCUCAAACUACACGGCUAGAGCAUUGGAGAGGGAAGCGGAAUUCACGGUGUAGCAGUGAAAUGCGUAGAUAUCGUGAGGAACACCAGAGGCGAAGGCGGCUUCCUGGACAAUUGCUGACGCUCAGGCACGAAAGCGUGGGGAGCAAACAGG
Molecule: ribosomal RNA, 253 nt
Filed under: uncultured bacterium
Lineage: Bacteria
Description: partial 16S ribosomal RNA
Rfam family: Bacterial small subunit ribosomal RNA
Source: RNAcentral